AGUGAACGCUGGCGGUAGGCCUAACACAUGCAAGUCGAACGGCAGCACAGUAAGAGCUUGCUCUUACGGGUGGCGAGUGGCGGACGGGUGAGGAAUACAUCGGAAUCUACUUUUUCGUGGGGGAUAACGUAGGGAAACUUACGCUAAUACCGCAUACGACCUACGGGUGAAAGCAGGGGAUCUUCGGACCUUGCGCGAUUGAAUGAGCCGAUGUCGGAUUAGCUAGUUGGCGGGGUAAAGGCCCACCAAGGCGACGAUCCGUAGCUGGUCUGAGAGGAUGAUCAGCCACACUGGAACUGGGACACGGUCCAGACUCCUAAGGGAGGCAGCAGUGGGGAAUAUUGGACAAUGGGCGCAAGCCUGAUCCAGCCAUACCGCGUGGGUGAAGAAGACCUUCGGGUUGUAAAGCCCUUUUGUUGGGAAAGAAAAGCAGCAGGUUAAUACCCCGCUGUUCUGACGGUACCCAAAGAAUAAGCACCGGCUAACUUCGUG
This 492-nucleotide ribosomal RNA is filed under the name uncultured bacterium. RNAcentral's name for it is "partial 16S ribosomal RNA". It matches the Rfam family "Bacterial small subunit ribosomal RNA", at positions 29 to 507 of the family's 1533-position model. The record is from RNAcentral.